RNAcentral lists this transfer RNA (65 nucleotides) under Dipodomys ordii (Ord's kangaroo rat). It matches the Rfam family "tRNA". From Rfam's summary of the family: Transfer RNA (tRNA) molecules are approximately 80 nucleotides in length. Their secondary structure includes four short double-helical elements and three loops (D, anti-codon, and T loops). The record is from Rfam by way of RNAcentral. Lineage: Eukaryota; Metazoa; Chordata; Mammalia; Rodentia; Heteromyidae.
GGUGGCUCAGUGUUAGAGUGCUUGCCUUGCAUGCAUGAGGCCCUGGGUUUGAUUCCACAGCACCA